UACGGAGGGUGCGAGCGUUGUCCGGAAUCACUGGGCGUAAAGGGCUCGUAGGCGGCCAACUAAGUCAGACGUGAAAUCCCUCGGCUUAACCGGGGAACUGCGUCUGAUACUGGAUGGCUUGAGUUCGGGAGAGGGAUGCGGAAUUCCAGGUGUAGCGGUGAAAUGCGUAGAUAUCUGGAGGAACACCGGUGGCGAAGGCGGCAUCCUGGACCGAUACUGACGCUGAGGAGCGAAAGCCAGGGGAGCAAACGGG
RNAcentral lists this ribosomal RNA (253 nucleotides) under uncultured bacterium. Its description in RNAcentral is "partial 16S ribosomal RNA". It matches the Rfam family "Bacterial small subunit ribosomal RNA", at positions 524 to 776 of the family's 1533-position model. The record is from RNAcentral.